RNAcentral lists this ribosomal RNA (754 nucleotides) under Vibrio sp. COH-10. RNAcentral describes it as "bacterial SSU rRNA". It matches the Rfam family "Bacterial small subunit ribosomal RNA", at positions 50 to 783 of the family's 1533-position model. Lineage: Bacteria; Pseudomonadati; Pseudomonadota; Gammaproteobacteria; Vibrionales; Vibrionaceae. The record is from RNAcentral.
AACACAUGCAAGUCGAGCGGAAACGACACUAACAAUCCUUCGGGUGCGUUAAUGGGCGUCGAGCGGCGGACGGGUGAGUAAUGCCUAGGAAAUUGCCUUGAUGUGGGGGAUAACCAUUGGAAACGAUGGCUAAUACCGCAUGAUGCCUACGGGCCAAAGAGGGGGACCUUCGGGCCUCUCGCGUCAAGAUAUGCCUAGGUGGGAUUAGCUAGUUGGUGAGGUAAUGGCUCACCAAGGCGACGAUCCCUAGCUGGUCUGAGAGGAUGAUCAGCCACACUGGAACUGAGACACGGUCCAGACUCCUACGGGAGGCAGCAGUGGGGAAUAUUGCACAAUGGGCGAAAGCCUGAUGCAGCCAUGCCGCGUGUAUGAAGAAGGCCUUCGGGUUGUAAAGUACUUUCAGUUGUGAGGAAGGGUGUGUAGUUAAUAGCUGCGCAUCUUGACGUUAGCAACAGAAGAAGCACCGGCUAACUCCGUGCCAGCAGCCGCGGUAAUACGGAGGGUGCGAGCGUUAAUCGGAAUUACUGGGCGUAAAGCGCAUGCAGGUGGUUCAUUAAGUCAGAUGUGAAAGCCCGGGGCUCAACCUCGGAACUGCAUUUGAAACUGGUGAACUAGAGUACUGUAGAGGGGGGUAGAAUUUCAGGUGUAGCGGUGAAAUGCGUAGAGAUCUGAAGGAAUACCAGUGGCGAAGGCGGCCCCCUGGACAGAUACUGACACUCAGAUGCGAAAGCGUGGGGAGCAAACAGGAUUAGAU